UAGCGUGAAGGAUGACUGCCUAUGGGUUGUAAACUUCUUUUAUAUGGGAAUAAGUGGAGUAUGUAUACUCUUUUGUAUGUACCAUAUGAAUAAGGAUCGGCUAACUCCGUGCCAGCAGCCGCGGUAAUACGGAGGAUCCGAGCGUUAUCCGGAUUUAUUGGGUUUAAAGGGAGCGUAGGCGGAUGCUUAAGUCAGUUGUGAAAGUUUGCGGCUCAACCGUAAAAUUGCAGUUGAAACUGGGUGUCUUGAGUGCAGUAUAGGCAGGCGGAAUUCGUGGUGUAGCGGUGAAAUGCUUAGAUAUCACGAAGAACUCCGAUUGCGAAGGCAGCUUGCUGGAGUGUCACUGACGCUGAUGCUCGAAAGUGUGGGUA
This 371-nucleotide ribosomal RNA is filed under the name uncultured bacterium. RNAcentral's name for it is "bacterial SSU rRNA". It matches the Rfam family "Bacterial small subunit ribosomal RNA", at positions 397 to 767 of the family's 1533-position model. The record is from RNAcentral.